UCAGCCCAACCGAUGUAAAAUCAUUUUUCCACAAAAACCCUAAUAUCCUUACCAUACAGCUCAUUCUUUUCCAUCCUUGAACACUCAACUGCAUACACCGCCGUUCAACCGAAACAAUCAAAAACAAAAUGAUCUUUCAGUAACACAAAGGGGAAAAGAAAUCUCAAAUAGCUGCUGCACUGUUCAUGAUCCAAAUCGAAAGCGCAUACCCACUGCCAACUUCGUCGGAGUCGGUCCCUGACCGUGCGCCGUUCACUUUGUCGUCAACAUCCCGCGCAUCCAGCUCAGCCGGCCUCCGACGGCCAUGCGUACUAACCGCGCCGCCCCUCACGCGAGUACAAUACGCCGGACAACCACCGCCCUAUUGUCCGUCGGAAGUUGCACGCUAUACCAAAUCCCAGCCGCAGUUGAAACUCAAUGGACGCUGAAACUCAACGCAACGUUGAAGAAAUGGUGAUGGAUUUACUCACAAAAGCCGAAUUUGAACAAGCCACUGAGUUCACCAUCCGAAUUGCCGCUUCCAAACGACUCGGUCUCGACCUUUCCGACUCACACAGCAGGCAAUUCGUCAGAAACAUCAUCGCCACCAACAAGAAACCGCCGCAAGUUUCCCCCGAGGCAGUCAAAGAACCGCCGCAAGAGUUGAAUAAGGUGGCGGGAGUGAAAUGCAAGAACGACGACUCUGAUAAAGUCAUUUGUGAGCUAUCAAGCAACAGGAAGGUGACUGUGGGAGAUUACAAAGGAAGGACCUUGGUGUCAAUUAGGGAGUACUUUCUGAAAGAUGGAAAACAACUUCCCACUCCUAAAGAUUUCAGGGAUGAGUUUAUCUUCUCAACAAUGGUUAGCCUUCAAGAAUAGUGUUCCUGCCAUAGAGGAAGCUAUCACAGAGCUGGAAGGAAGGUUAAGGAGAAGAUCAGGGCAUAGUGGCUGGAAAAAUGUUCCUGUUCAGCCUGUCUCUAUUGAGCCUGUCUCUAAAGCACAUGAGAGCUUAGUGAAGGCCUAAUGUACAGCAGUAGCACCUUGUAACUAAGACAUGUUUCAGUCAGUGCUAGGCCUUUUAAAGAUAGUAAAAUAUUGUAUAUUUCAAAACAUGUACUGGCAUUUUAAAGAAUAAUAAUCAAAGCUCAUAGGUACUUGCUUUCCUUGUAGGCAAUCAUUGUGAAGAAAUAUCCAGCACAACUGUCACUAACAGCAUGGGUAAAUUGCAUGGGUGCAGCACAAUCUGCUGUCUUUACAACAUUCCUGCAGCACAAACCUAGAGUCUGGUUCAUAACAUCAAGGCUUGAACUCUUCUGCAUUUUAUACGCAAUGAGUAAAGCAUUUUAGCUGGUUAUCCACAUUCACAAAACAAACCAGCAUUAGGAUGCUGAAAUUUAAAGUAAAAACUGAACUGAAUCGUGUAUGAGUAAUGGCAGGGAGUUAUAUGUGGUGGUUUGAUUAUCUACAUUCAAAUUUGGACCACAGUAGAAAAAGGGCCAGUCUUUGUGAGUAUGUUCAAUCCCCUUGGAACAAUAUUGGUGACUGUGCUAGCAUAUUUUAUUUUGGGGCAACAACUUCACAUUGGCAGUAUAUUGAGAGUACUCAUUGUUAUCAUGGGUCUAUACUUGCUUUUAUGGGGAAAAGAGAGUGAUGGAGAUUACAAGCCACAACAAUCCUUACCAGCGGAACAUGAGGAGAAAGAUUGCAAGGCACCACGGAUAAAGACUUCAGUGGCAUAGGAAGCAUAUAUGAAUAAACUAAAUCAGUUAUGUAAGAGAGCAUCUUGCUUAUUCUCACUCUAAACUUACUAGAUUUAGAUUAAAAGGACUAAUAGUCAGCUCCUAGAUUUCAAAAGCAAAUUCAGGGAGAACAAUUAAUUAGUGUGACAUAGGUUUCAAUGCUUGAUGUGCUUAAGAAAGAAUUUGGCCUAGACAAAGUCUGGCAACAAAUUGUGCACAUCAAUUUCAAAGUCUGGAAAAAGAGUAUUUGAGUAAUAAAGUUUAUUUAAGCUCUUUAUAUCAUUUGAAAAUUCAUUCUAUCUAGUAGUUACGUUUAUUCAACAAGUAUAUUGUGUGAAGAUAGAAGGUGCAUGAGUUUUGGUUCAAAAUGUACAGGGAGGAUAACAUAUUUGUUUAGUCUGUUUGAUCAUGUUGGAUUAUGUGUGAAGCUAUGACACAAACAUAGACACAUUAACAUUGUAAUAAUUGAGAAAGUGAAAUAGUUGAAUGUAACCCAUAUGUAUUAGUUUAUGUAUGCAUAUGUUUAUGUAAACAUAUUCUAAAUUAUAGGUAGAGUUUUAUGUAUUCAAUUGAGGAUCUUUCACCCCUUUGAUCCUCGGUAUAAAUUCGAUUUUAACAAUCACCUUACACAUAGGAUAUAUUA
Vicia villosa (hairy vetch) is the source of this 2361-nucleotide RNA transcript. It is a transcript of the gene named RNA polymerase II transcriptional coactivator KELP-like, with no coding region annotated. The record is from RefSeq and is a predicted model, not a curated record. NCBI's taxonomy places the organism in Eukaryota, Viridiplantae, Streptophyta, Magnoliopsida, Fabales, Fabaceae. The transcript is spliced from 5 exons.